AACACGUGGGGAACCUGCCCCAUAGUCUGGGAUACCACUUGGAAACAGGUGCUAAUACCGGAUAAGAAAGCGGAUCGCAUGAUCAGCUUUUAAAAGGCGGCGUAAGCUGUCGCUAUGGAAUGGCCCCGCGGUGCAUUAGCUAGUUGGUAAGGUAAGGCUUACCAAGGCGAUGAUGCAUAGCCGAGUUGAGAGACUGAUCGGCCACAUUGGGACUGAGACACGGCCCAAACUCCUACGGGAGGCAGCAGCC
This 250-nucleotide ribosomal RNA is filed under the name uncultured Lactobacillus sp. RNAcentral describes it as "partial 16S ribosomal RNA". It matches the Rfam family "Bacterial small subunit ribosomal RNA", at positions 112 to 355 of the family's 1533-position model. The record is from RNAcentral. Lineage: Bacteria; Bacillati; Bacillota; Bacilli; Lactobacillales; Lactobacillaceae.